RNAcentral lists this ribosomal RNA (414 nucleotides) under uncultured bacterium. RNAcentral's name for it is "bacterial SSU rRNA". It matches the Rfam family "Bacterial small subunit ribosomal RNA", at positions 8 to 424 of the family's 1533-position model. The record is from RNAcentral.
AGAGUUUGAUCCUGGCUCAGAUUGAACGCUGGCGGCAGGCCUAACACAUGCAAGUCGAGCGGAUGAGAGGAGCUUGCUCCUUGAUUUAGCGGCGGACGGGUGAGUAAUGCCUAGGAACCUGCCUGGUAGUGGGGGAUAACGUCCGGAAACGGGCGCUAAUACCGCAUACGUCCUACGGGAGAAAGCAGGGGACCUUCGGGCCUUGCGCUAUCAGAUGAGCCUAGGUCGGAUUAGCUAGUUGGUGAGGUAAUGGCUCACCAAGGCGACGAUCCGUAACUGGUCUGAGAGGAUGAUCAGUCACACUGGAACUGAGACACGGUCCAGACUCCUACGGGAGGCAGCAGUGGGGAAUAUUGGACAAUGGGCGAAAGCCUAAUCCAGCCAUGCCGCGUGUGUGAAGAAGGUCUUCGGAUU